RNAcentral lists this ribosomal RNA (515 nucleotides) under uncultured bacterium. Its description in RNAcentral is "partial 16S ribosomal RNA". It matches the Rfam family "Bacterial small subunit ribosomal RNA", at positions 28 to 523 of the family's 1533-position model. The record is from RNAcentral.
GAUGAACGCUGGCGGCGUGCCUAAUACAUGCAAGUCGAGCGAAUGGAUUAAGAGCUUGCUCUUAUGAAGUUAGCGGCGGACGGGUGAGUAACACGUGGGUAACCUGCCCAUAAGACUGGGAUAACUCCGGGAAACCGGGGCUAAUACGGGAUAACAUUUUGAACCGCAUGGUUCGAUAUUGAAAGGCGGCUUCGGCUGUCACUGAUGGAUGGACCCGCGUCGCAUUAGCUAGUUGGUGAGGUAACGGCUCACCAAGGCAACGAUGCGUAGCCGACCUGAGAGGGUGAUCGGCCACACUGGGACUGAGACACGGCCCAGACUCCUACGGGAGGCAGCAGUAGGGAAUCUUCCGCAAUGGACGAAAGUCUGACGGAGCAACGCCGCGUGAGUGAUGAAGGCUUUCGGGUCGUAAAACUCUGUUGUUAGGGAAGAACAAGUGCUAGUUGAAUAAGCUGGCACCUUGACGGUACCUAACCAGAAAGCCACGGCUAACUACGUGCCAGCCGCCGCGGUAA